GAGGGUAUAGCUUAGUGGUAGAGCACAUACUUACUAGCAUGCAUGAGGUCUGGGGUUUAAUUCCCAGUUCCUCUA
Molecule: transfer RNA, 75 nt
Filed under: Camelus bactrianus (Bactrian camel)
Lineage: Eukaryota; Metazoa; Chordata; Mammalia; Artiodactyla; Camelidae
Also listed under: 2 other names
Rfam family: tRNA
About the family: Transfer RNA (tRNA) molecules are approximately 80 nucleotides in length.
Source: Rfam by way of RNAcentral